GGGUCAAUGAUGAGAACUUACAUUGUCUUGAAGAGAGAUGAUGACUUGUAAAAAAAAAAAAAGAAAGAGAAUACAUGAAAUCA
This is a small nucleolar RNA of Artibeus jamaicensis (Jamaican fruit-eating bat), 83 nucleotides long. RefSeq annotates it as small nucleolar RNA SNORD115. The transcript has a single exon. Lineage: Eukaryota; Metazoa; Chordata; Mammalia; Chiroptera; Phyllostomidae. The record is from RefSeq and is a predicted model, not a curated record.